CAUUAUACCGUGAAACUGCGAAUGGCUCAUUAAAUCAGUUAUCGUUUAUUUGAUAAUACCUUACUACUUGGAUAACCGUGGUAAUUCUAGAGCUAAUACAUGCUGAAAAUCCCGACUUCGGAAGGGAUGUGUUUAUUAGAUAAAAAACCAAUGCCCUUCGGGGCUUUUUGGUGAUUCAUGAUAACUUUACGGAUCGCAUAGCCUUGCGCUGGCGACGGUUCAUUCAAAUUUCUGCCCUAUCAACUUUCGAUGGUAAGGUAUUGGCUUACCAUGGUUUCAACGGGUAACGGGGAAUUAGGGUUCGAUUCCGGAGAGGGAGCCUGAGAAACGGCUACCACAUCCAAGGAAGGCAGCAGGCGCGCAAAUUACCCAAUCCCGACACGGGGAGGUAGUGACAAUAAAUACUGAUACAGGGCUCUUUUGGGUCUUGUAAUUGGAAUGAGUACAAUUUAAACCUCUUAACGAGGAACAAUUGGAGGGCAAGUCUGGUGCCAGCAGCCGCGGUAAUUCCAGCUCCAAUAGCGUAUAUUAAAGUUGUUGCAGUUAAAAAGCUCGUAGUUGAAACUUGGGCCUGGCUGGCGGGUCCGCCUCACCGCGUGCACUCGUCCGGCCGGGCCUUCCUUCUGAAGAACCUCAUGCCCUUCACUGGGCGUGCUGGGGAAUCAGGACUUUUACUUUGAAAAAAUUAGAGUGUUCAAAGCAGGCCUUUGCUCGAAUACGUUAGCAUGGAAUAAUAAAAUAGGGCGUGCGUUUCUAUUUUGUUGGUUUCUAGAGACGCCGCAAUGAUUAACAGGAACAGUCGGGGGCAUCAGUAUUCAGUUGUCAGAGGUGAGAUUCUUGGAUUUACUGAAGACUAACUACUGCGAAAGCAUUUGCCAAGGAUGUUUUCAUUAAUCAGUGAACGAAAGUUAGGGGAUCGAAGACGAUCAGAUACCGUCGUAGUCUUAACCGUAAACUAUGCCGACUAGGGAUCGGGCGAUGUUCUUUUUCUGACUCGCUCGGCACCUUACGAGAAAUCAAAGUUUUUGGGUUCUGGGGGGA
RNAcentral lists this ribosomal RNA (1041 nucleotides) under Alternaria alternata. RNAcentral's name for it is "SSU rRNA". It matches the Rfam family "Eukaryotic small subunit ribosomal RNA", at positions 72 to 1122 of the family's 1831-position model. Lineage: Eukaryota; Fungi; Ascomycota; Dothideomycetes; Pleosporales; Pleosporaceae. The record is from RNAcentral.